RNAcentral lists this ribosomal RNA (292 nucleotides) under uncultured bacterium. RNAcentral's name for it is "partial 16S ribosomal RNA". The record is from RNAcentral.
GGACUACCCGGGUUUCUAAUCCUGUUUGAUCCCCUUGCUUUCGCGCCUCAGCGUCAGGAGUAAGCUAGAAAACCGCCUUCGCCACCGGUGUUCUUCCACAUAUCUACGCAUUUCACCGCUACUUGUGGAAUUCCGUUUUCUCCGCCUACCCUCUAGGUAUGCAGUUUCAAAUGCUGUUCCGAGGUUGAGCCCCGGGAUUUCACAUCUGACUUACAAACCAGCCUACGCGCCCUUUACGCCCAAUAAAUCCGAUUAAUGCUUGCACCCUCCGUAUUACCGCGGCUGCUGGCAC